Molecule: ribosomal RNA, 492 nt
Filed under: uncultured bacterium
Lineage: Bacteria
Description: partial 16S ribosomal RNA
Rfam family: Bacterial small subunit ribosomal RNA
Source: RNAcentral
AGUGAACGCUGGCGGUAGGCCUAACACAUGCAAGUCGAACGGCAGCACAGUAAGAGCUUGCUCUUACGGGUGGCGAGUGGCGGACGGGUGAGGAAUACAUCGGAAUCUACUUUUUCGUGGGGGAUAACGUGGGGAAACUUACGCUAAUACCGCAUACGACCUACGGGUGAAAGCAGGGGAUCUUCGGACCUUGCGCGAUUGAAUGAGCCGAUGUCGGAUUAGCUAGUUGGCGGGGUAAAGGCCCACCAGGGCGACGAUCCGUAGCUGGUCUGAGAGGAUGAUCAGCCACACUGGAACUGAGACACGGUCCAGACUCCUACGGGAGGCAGCAGUGGGGAAUAUUGGACAAUGGGCGCAAGCCUGAUCCAGCCAUACCGCGUGGGUGAAGAAGGCCUUCGGGUUGUAAAGCCCUUUUGUUGGGAAAGAAAAGCAGCAGGUUAAUACCCCGCUGUUCUGACGGUACCCAAAGAACAAGCACCGGCUAACUUCGUG